CCUACGGGCGGCAGCAGUGGGGGAUAUUGCACAAUUGGGGAAACCCUGAUGCAGCGACGCCGCGUGGGUGAAGAAGUAUUUCGGUAUGUAAAGCCCUAUCAGCAGGGAAGAAAGAAGACGGUACCUGACUAAGAAGCCCCGGCUAACUACGUGCCAGCAGCCGCGGUAAUACGUAGGGGGCGAGCGUUAUCCGGAUUCACUGGGUGUAAAGGGAGCGUAGACGGCCGUGCAAGCCAGGAGUGAAAGCCCGGGGCCCAACCCCGGGACUGCUCUUGGAACUGUGCGGCUGGAGUGCGGGAGGGGCAGGCGGAAUUCCUGGUGUAGCGGUGAAAUGCGUAGAUAUCAGGAGGAACACCGGCGGCGAAGGCGGCCUGCUGGACCGCGACUGACGUUGAGGCUCGAAAGCGUGGGGAGCGAACAGGAUUAGAUACCCGAGUAGUC
RNAcentral lists this ribosomal RNA (441 nucleotides) under uncultured bacterium. Its description in RNAcentral is "partial 16S ribosomal RNA". It matches the Rfam family "Bacterial small subunit ribosomal RNA", at positions 338 to 795 of the family's 1533-position model. The record is from RNAcentral.